This 253-nucleotide ribosomal RNA is filed under the name uncultured bacterium. RNAcentral's name for it is "partial 16S ribosomal RNA". It matches the Rfam family "Bacterial small subunit ribosomal RNA", at positions 524 to 776 of the family's 1533-position model. The record is from RNAcentral.
UACGGAGGAUCCAAGCGUUAUCCGGAUUUAUUGGGUUUAAAGGGUGCGUAGGCGGCCUAUUAAGUCAGGGGUGAAAGACGGUGGCUCAACCAUCGCAGUGCCUUUGAUACUGAUGGGCUUGAAUGAACUAGAGGUAGGCGGAAUGUGACAAGUAGCGGUGAAAUGCAUAGAUAUGUCACAGAACACCGAUUGCGAAGGCAGCUUACUAUGGUUUAAUUGACGCUGAGGCACGAAAGCGUGGGGAUCGAACAGG